UUCCUACGGGAGGCAGCAGUGGGGAAUUUUGGACAAUGGGGGAAACCCUGAUCCAGCAAUGCCGCGUGUGCGAAGAAGGCCUUCGGGUUGUAAAGCACUUUUGUCAGGGAAGAAAUCCUUUGGGCUAAUACCCUAGGGGGAUGACGGUACCCGAAGAAUAAGCACCGGCUAACUACGUGCCAGCAGCCGCGGUAAUACGUAGGGUGCAAGCGUUAAUCGGAAUUACUGGGCGUAAAGCGUGCGCAGGCGGUUGUGUAAGACAGGUGUGAAAUCCCCGGGCUUAACCUGGGAAUUGCAUUUGUGACUGCACGACUAGAGUGUGUCAGAGGGGGGUGGAAUUCCACGUGUAGCAGUGAAAUGCGUAGAUAUGUGGAGGAACACCAAUGGCGAAGGCAGCCCCCUGGGAUAACACUGACGCUCAUGCACGAAAGCGUGGGGAGCAAACAGGAUUAGAUACCCUGGUAGUCCACGCCCUAAACGAUGUCAACUAGUUGUUGGGGAUUUACUUCCUUGGUAACGUAGCUAACGCGUGAAGUUGACCGCCUGGGGAGUACGGCCGCAAGGUUAAAACUCAAAGGAAUUGACGGAA
This 589-nucleotide ribosomal RNA is filed under the name uncultured Limnobacter sp. Its description in RNAcentral is "bacterial SSU rRNA". It matches the Rfam family "Bacterial small subunit ribosomal RNA", at positions 336 to 918 of the family's 1533-position model. Lineage: Bacteria; Pseudomonadati; Pseudomonadota; Betaproteobacteria; Burkholderiales; Burkholderiaceae. The record is from RNAcentral.